CGCACGCGUAUUGGCCUCGUUCUCGGAUACGGCCGCCCCCUCUCUGUCUCCUCACCUUUCAUCUUCCUCUCCUCGCACACGCAACCUUUGCCUCCUCUCCUCUCCCUUUCCUCUUCCCCUUCUUCUCCUCGACACGAAAGCAAGCUUGGCGAUUGGGAUUCAAGCGCCAGCGCUCCAAAUCCGGCGGAGGGGUGGCGCGCGCCGGCGGCGGCGAUUUCGAUUUGUGGUAAUCCUCACCGCUGGAGGCGGCUGCCCGAUCCAGCCACCGGUGAACAAACUCCCGACCAUCCCUCCUUGCCCGCGUCUCUAGCCCUUACUCGUUUUCGCCACCAUCCUCGACGCGUCUGGCGUAGGAGGCUGGGGGUGGUCGUGGUGGCGGCACAGAUCCGAGGAAGGAGCGAGUGGGAGGAGAAGGCAGCGGUGGAGGUUUUGAUCUAUCGACAUGGGAGGCGGAGCGAUCUGGACGAGAUGACUGGUGCAGGUUUCCUCACCAUGCUGCGACCAGCACCUACGCAGGUGAUUGGUGUUGUUGUCCUUUUCGACAGCGGCAGCGGACGGCGCUGGGCGGCAAGCCCAUCAGUGCCCGUGUGCCCCGACCGGUGCGGACUGCUUGCGUAGGGCCACAACAGCUGCUUGCUCAAGCCUGCGUGUGGACUGCCCGUGAUCGGCUGCCCCGCUGCCUAAAAUAUACGUGCCCUUAAGGCUUGGUGUCCAUGGGGAUAGAAAACUGAGUUGAUUUCAAGUGGUACCUGAACGUCUACACAAGAUUUGACUAAAACUUCCUCCUACUAGAUUUCACAAGAGAGCCUUCUAUUCUCCUUUUUAGAACUGAAUAUAUUUGAUGUGCCGUUCAAUAGCAAUGUAGAUACACUGACUCUGUUUUUUCACUAUCAAACAGUCCCAACAAUAGGACUCUCUGCAAAAUCAAUUCUGGUGUCUUGUACUCUUGUUUAAUUGUUUUAUUUGAUGCGAGCUAAGAUUGAUUUCCAGCUCAUCUCCAUGGGUUCCCCGAGGUGAGGGCGAUGUUGAGGAGAGAUGGCGUCGAGGACGACAUCCGAGGACAUCAUCACGCUCAUGGCUUCGCCGCCAUCGUCAUCGAGUUUUUUGGUUUCACAGCAAACAGGUGUGCGAUGGGCCGGCAACCAGUGGCGCCAUCUCUAUCCCCGACACUAGAUAAUAGCGUGGCUAAUGGCCUGCACGCGGUGCGCCUGUCUGUGCCCGUGCGCUCAGGCCGGUGCGGACUGCGACUACGCGUAGGGCCGCCGCAGCUGCUUGCUCAAGGCGGCGUGCGGACUGCCUGGAUCUAAGACGACACAUAUCACACUUCUGCCCGUCAUGCUAAUUUGGGUGCUUUUUUGAGGUGUGGGAUUGGGCAGUGGUGAGCUUGGCUCUCAUAUCAUUUUUCUCGUCUACAUUUAUCUUGAUGUUGGGAAGCAGUCAAUGGGUGAUUAUCGAAUGUGUCGGAACUUCCAAGCAAAUGUCUCUCUGUGGCUAAAAUAAAUCUUAUUUCCCCUCAAGUCACUAAACUGCAAUGGGUAGUUGGUCGGUCGCUGUCAAUUGAAUGUGGGAAUUGAAAUGUCUUGCCGUUUUACAAUUCUUGUUUUGCUUCACAAUAUUCUCUGUUAAAUAGACCUGUUAGUAUCUAUGAAACUACUACGCUUGCUUUGCUUUAUGAAUGAACACUUGUCUCCUGCAGUUUUUACCGUGUCUUAUAUUCGAACCACUACGCUCAUCUGGUCUGCCACUUUUUUCUUUUGCUGAAUUAUACAUGUUGUCAUGCAAAGACAUCAACAAAUAUGGAAGUUUGAUUAGUGCGCACAAUUUUGCCUCUCAAGAGGCGCCAUCAGGUGGCGCCCCAGCCACUAGUAAUUUUGCAAGUAGCGGUAGUAAUUUUGCAAGUAGCGGCGGCUGGAUGGACCUCCCAAGCGAUCUCCUUGGCCGCAUCUUGCAACUCCUUGAGCUCCUCGAAGCUCUCGCUGCCGCAGCCGUUUGCACUUCAUGGUGCUCAGCCGCAGCGGCCGCCGGCGUCCCUCGCGGCCUCACGCCGUGGCUCAUUAGCUGGAAACCCGGCAACUGCCGGAGCAGCGAGUUUUGGAACCUCAUCGGCACCCGUGAGACCCACAAGGUUAGCUUGCCCACCGGGCGGCACAACCCCGAGUGGAGGCUCGUCGCAUCGGACGAGCUCUCCAAGAGUGAAUUGCAGAAAACAUUGACACUUCAGACUGGUUUGCAGAAACCACAUAUACGAAAUUAUGCCAAAAAACAUUAAUUUUUUUCAUAAUUUUUUGCAAAAAACACUAGUUGCUCAUUUGGACCGUUUUAAGUGCGUUUAUGACAGGGGCCCGCAUCCGUCGACACGUCGUUGGCGCACCGGUUCGAGCCGGGCGGGUCAAACACCCCGAAGCGGUGCAGGCCCACCCCCAGCCCUCACUCUCUCCUGCCCUUCUCCCUCUCUUUGCUCCCGCUCGUUCGCCGCCGGAGUCCCCUCCCACAUCUCCGACCGCCGCGUCGCCAUGGUGUCUUGGUCUGAUGACGACAGCAGCAAGAACUCUCACAAGUACGCCGACUCAGCUUCAGACAAGGGCAUCAUCAAGACCAUGGAUAACUCCGAUUUCGAGGGCACUAAACCUGAUGCUUUGUGCAAUGAACUCCCUGCCAGCAGAGAGGCGUGUUGCUUUCCAGGGCAUCCAUACUGGCAGGAGGUUCCUUGCUUGUGCUGUGAAGGAGGGAAGAAACUGUGGGCUAGUUGAAUGGGUUGAUCCAUUUUGGCCAGCUACAAUGGAGAAUGCAUUGACCAAGUUGUGGGAUAAGUAUGAAGAGUGCAGGAGGAGCAAGAUUGAGGACAAUCUGGAAAGCUCAUUUGCUGUUCACAAUCUGACACAACAGAAGAUCAAGUUGCAGGCAAGUUAUGAGAGGUUGGUUGAAGAUGUCAAUGGUCUUUUGGAUGCACAGGAGCAGAGGGCUCAGAUGGAGUGAGGUAAGAUGCAAAACAACCUUAAGAGAGCAAGCUGCACGAGAAGUAUGACAUGCUCAAGAACCUGACAGUUGUUCAAGCCAAUGUCAUUAGGAACAUGAAGUUGAAGCUUGCUGAAGAGAAGAUUAAGUUGCAGGCCCACAUUGAUGAGCUUGAGAAGGUUGUGGAGCAGACCAAGCUAAAGCUGAAUGGGAUCAAGGCCAUCUUAGAU
This is an RNA transcript of Triticum dicoccoides, 3185 nucleotides long. RefSeq lists it as uncharacterized. The record is from RefSeq and is a predicted model, not a curated record. Lineage: Eukaryota; Viridiplantae; Streptophyta; Magnoliopsida; Poales; Poaceae. The transcript has 8 exons.